Sander lucioperca (pikeperch) is the source of this 335-nucleotide long non-coding RNA. RefSeq lists it as uncharacterized. The record is from RefSeq and is a predicted model, not a curated record. The transcript is spliced from 3 exons. NCBI's taxonomy places the organism in Eukaryota, Metazoa, Chordata, Actinopteri, Perciformes, Percidae.
CAGUAUCUCUGGCCGUACGAUGUGUAUGACGUCAUUGACAUUUUAAAAGGCUUUUUAGAACAAAAAAAGCGACUUUAAAAAAUCUAACACCCAGCAGUAUGUAUUUUCUUAGCCUCCCCUUUCGAAUGCAACAUUCAAAUUACUAGACAAAAAAUGAUAUCCUGAGACAAGUGGAUUUUGAGGAGUAUAGCUCCAUAGACCGCCAUUCAUUCUGCACUUGCCCGUGAGCGCCCUCAUAUGGAACCAGAGUGGGACUGCAACCAGUUCAGAAGCCGGAAGUUUCCCGAGAGUGGAAGUUCUCCUCUUAUUAGACAUUCUCUGGUAACCUCAAAAAA